GUCGGUGGCUUUCUGAGCUCAUAUUACCACACUCGUUAGUUCUUAUCCUGCAGAAGCCUGUUCUUUCAGCUUUAUCUUUUUGCCCUUUAGUAGCAGGAUUGGCCCCUCCUCAUUGGUUGGCUUCUUGAAAUAUUUUAUAGCACAUCCAAUGCAACUACCAAACAUAGAUGUACAACACUAACGACUAACAAUUAAAAAUAUAUCAUCUAUCUGAUAAAUAUUAUAUUCGAGUCUUUACUUAUAUAAUCUUGCAAAUAAUACUUUAGCAUAUUUCUAAAUAAUAAUCUUAUUAUCUAAAAAUAUAGGUGUACCAUGAGAUAAGUAUUAGAUCUUUAAAUUUAGAUUUUCUUUCACUAUAUUGCUUGAUAAUUAAUAAUUAAAAAUUCUAAUUUGUAAAAAGCACUGCCAUCAUUUGAUGGCCAUAAAAGUUGCAUCUUCUUUUGGCCUUAAUUAAUUGUGUACCAGAUCAUUUUUAACAACCUGAAAUGCCCUACAGUCAAGUCAGUCAGAAGAUUCUCUUUUUUAUUCCAAUCACACUUACUAAUUAGGAUGAUAGUAUUUGACAAGGAUAGGCAUAGUUUUGUUAUUAUUUGCAGUGUAUGUAUUGUAAGUUCAUAAAGAGAAGGGCAAUCUUUGGCAACCAGGGCCAAGCACUGAAACAACAGGACUUGCUUGAUGGCAUAGAUCCAAACGACACCCAGUUUAAAAAUCUCCCUUUCCCGACUUCUCUCCCUCUCACUCUCCAGUAUGGACCUCUUGCUCAGCCUAGAGAGCUACGAGUACGACUACGGUACUAUACUACCGACACAAUAUGACAAACUCCUCUCUAGCACCCAAAACACAACAAAUUCAGGAAAGAAAACAAAAUAAAUAAAUGAGAAAGAGAGAGAAAGCGAAGGGGGGAGACAGACUUACAGGUUAGUGAUUUCCAUAUCUUGGUCACAACUCAAUCAUAGAUGCCCAAAAAAUAAACAAAUACAGAAGCAGGCAAAUAGAGGGCAACCCCAACAAUUCAAUUUGCCAAAACAGCUUAAAUUUAUUCCUAGGCAAUAAAACCAAGACCAUGUAGCCAGGGAAACCAAGUACCUGUUGAACUUGCUGUGGUAAUGUCUUG
Molecule: unclassified non-coding RNA, 1114 nt
Filed under: Hevea brasiliensis (rubber tree)
Lineage: Eukaryota; Viridiplantae; Streptophyta; Magnoliopsida; Malpighiales; Euphorbiaceae
Source: RNAcentral